GGUAGUAUUAACAAUAAAACCCAUAAAACUUGGCGGUUGACACUUUUUAGAGAAACUCGCUUCAUAAUCGUAAAUACCCGAUAAUUUUCACUUAGAUUUCACAGCCUUUAUACCGCCGUUACAGAAUUAACCAAAAAUUUAAUUUCCUAACAACCACAGCAACAAAAUCAGGUCAAGGUGAAGCCAAUAUCCAAGAAGAAGUAAGUUACAUUAAUAAAAAAUUAAGGAAUAUAAUACAAAUAAAUUAAGAAAAAGAAUCUAAAAGUACUUAGAUACUAAAAUUAUCACAAGAAAUAAACAGUAUCAACGC
RNAcentral lists this ribosomal RNA (310 nucleotides) under Physocyclus franckei. RNAcentral describes it as "partial 12S ribosomal RNA". The record is from RNAcentral. Lineage: Eukaryota; Metazoa; Arthropoda; Arachnida; Araneae; Pholcidae.